Molecule: transfer RNA, 75 nt
Filed under: Methanobacteriota archaeon
Lineage: Archaea; Methanobacteriati; Methanobacteriota
Description: Euryarchaeota archaeon tRNA-Arg(tcg)
Rfam family: tRNA
About the family: Transfer RNA (tRNA) molecules are approximately 80 nucleotides in length. Their secondary structure includes four short double-helical elements and three loops (D, anti-codon, and T loops).
Source: RNAcentral
GGGCGCAUGGGGUAGCUUGGAUAUCCUGUCGGGCUUCGGAUCCGACGACGCGGGUUCGAAUCCUGCUGCGCCCGC